UCGAGGGGUAACAGGAGUGCUUGCACUUGCUGACGACCGGCGCACGGGUGCGUAACGCGUAUAGAACUUACCUUUUACAGAGGGAUNGCCUUUAGAAAUGAAGAUUAAUACCUCAUAGUAUUGAGACUUGGCAUCAAGACUUAAUUAAAGAUUUAUCGGUAAAAGAUGGCUAUGCGUCCUAUUAGUUAGUUGGUAAGGUAACGGCUUACCAAGACGUCGAUAGGUAGGGGUCCUGAGAGGGAGAUCCCCCACACUGGUACUGAGACACGGACCAGACUCCUACGGGAGGCAGCAGUGAGGAAUAUUGGGCAAUGGAGGCAACUCUGACCCAGCCAUGCCGCGUGCAGGAAGACGGCCCUAUGGGUUGUAAACUGCUUUUAUACAGGAAGAAACUCUGCUACGUGUAGCAGCUUGACGGUACUGUAAGAAUAAGGACCGGCUAACUCCGUGCCAGCAGCCGCGGUAAUACGGAGGGUCCGAGCGUUAUCCGGAAUCAUUGGGUUUAAAGGGUCCGCAGGCGGUCAAUUAAGUCAGAGGUGAAAUCCCAUAGCUCAACUAUGGAACUGCCUUUGAUACUGGUUGACUUGAGUCAUAUGGAAGUAGAUAGAAUGUGUAGUGUAGCGGUGAAAUGCAUAGAUAUUACACAGAAUACCGAUUGCGAAGGCAGUCUACUACGUAUGUACUGACGCUGAGGGACGAAAGCGUGGGGAGCGAACAGGAUUAGAU
RNAcentral lists this ribosomal RNA (726 nucleotides) under uncultured bacterium. Its description in RNAcentral is "bacterial SSU rRNA". It matches the Rfam family "Bacterial small subunit ribosomal RNA", at positions 62 to 783 of the family's 1533-position model. The record is from RNAcentral.